ACUGUCUGGUCACAUAAACCCUGCAUUGAGAAAAGGGCUUAUACUGAAACAGAAUAUUGCACAGAUAUACUGAAUUUUUGAAAGCAAAGCAAAAUUUACUUGUCAUCAGAAAAAUCCUGAAAUCAUGUUCCUGUUUAUUUUAUGGCCUAAUGGUUGGCAGUGAAUUUUAGUAAUGGCUGAGAAAGGAAACAAGACUUGUUUGAGUUGAGACUUGAGAUGAGUUGAUUCUAG
This 231-nucleotide unclassified non-coding RNA is filed under the name Hevea brasiliensis (rubber tree). The record is from RNAcentral. Lineage: Eukaryota; Viridiplantae; Streptophyta; Magnoliopsida; Malpighiales; Euphorbiaceae.